GACGAACGCUGGCGGCGUGCCUAAUACAUGCAAGUAGAACGCUGAAGAGAGGAGCUUGCUCUUCUUGGAUGAGUUGCGAACGGGUGAGUAACGCGUAGGUAACCUGCCUUGUAGCGGGGGAUAACUAUUGGAAACGAUAGCUAAUACCGCAUAACAAUGGAUGACACAUGUCAUUUAUUUGAAAGGGGCAAUUGCUCCACUACAAGAUGGACCUGCGUUGUAUUAGCUAGUAGGUGAGGUAAUGGCUCACCUAGGCGACGAUACAUAGCCGACCUGAGAGGGGGGUGGGCCACCCGGGGACUGAGACACGCCCCAGACUCCUACGGGGGGCAGCAGUAGGGAAUCUUCGGCAAUGGGGGGAACCCUGACCGAGCAACGCCGCGUGAGGAAAGAAGGUUUUGGGAUUGGAAAGCUUUGUUUUAAGUCAAAAACGGGGGGGGGAGUGGAAAGUUCCACCUGGGGCGGGGGCUUACCAAAAAGGGACGGCAAACUCCGG
Molecule: ribosomal RNA, 496 nt
Filed under: uncultured bacterium
Lineage: Bacteria
Description: partial 16S ribosomal RNA
Rfam family: Bacterial small subunit ribosomal RNA
Source: RNAcentral